UACGUAGGGGGCUAGCGUUGUCCGGAAUCAUUGGGCGUAAAGAGCGUGUAGGCGGCCUGAAAGGUCAGCUGUGAAAACUCGAGGCUUAACCUCGAGACGUCGGUUGAAACCAUCUGGCUAGAGUCCGGAAGAGGAGUGUGGAAUUCCCGGUGUAGCGGUGAAAUGCGCAGAUAUCGGGAAGAACACCCGUGGCGAAGGCGGCACUCUGGGACGGUACUGACGCUGAGACGCGAAAGCGUGGGGAGCGAACAGG
RNAcentral lists this ribosomal RNA (253 nucleotides) under uncultured bacterium. RNAcentral's name for it is "partial 16S ribosomal RNA". It matches the Rfam family "Bacterial small subunit ribosomal RNA", at positions 524 to 776 of the family's 1533-position model. The record is from RNAcentral.